AGUGAACGCUGGCGGCAGGCCUAACACAUGCAAGUCGAGCGGAUGAAGGGAGCUUGCUCCUGGAUUCAGCGGCGGACGGGUGAGUAAUGCCGAGGAAUCUGCCUGGUAGUGGGGGAUAACGUCCGGAAACGGGCGCUAAUACCGCAUACGUCCUGAGGGAGAAAGGGGGGGAGCUUCGGACCUCACGCUAUCGGAUGAGCCUAGGUCGGAUUAGCUAGUUGGUGGGGUAAAGGCCUACCAAGGCGACGAUCCGUAACUGGUCUGAGAGGAUGAUCAGCCACACUGGAACUGAGACACGGUCCAGACUCCUACGGGAGGCAGCAGUGGGGAAUAUUGGACAAUGGGCGCAAGCCUGAUCCAGCCAUGCCGCGUGUGUGAAGAAGGUCUUCGGAUUGUAAAGCCCUUUUAGUUGGGAGGAAGGGCAGUAAGUUAAUACCUUGCUGUUUUGACGUUACCAACAGAAUAAGCACCGGCUAACUUCGUG
This 484-nucleotide ribosomal RNA is filed under the name uncultured bacterium. Its description in RNAcentral is "partial 16S ribosomal RNA". It matches the Rfam family "Bacterial small subunit ribosomal RNA", at positions 29 to 507 of the family's 1533-position model. The record is from RNAcentral.